This 120-nucleotide long non-coding RNA is filed under the name Chinchilla lanigera (long-tailed chinchilla). RNAcentral describes it as "lncRNA (ENSCLAG00000022374.1)". The record is from RNAcentral. Lineage: Eukaryota; Metazoa; Chordata; Mammalia; Rodentia; Chinchillidae.
GACUCAGCAGGUCUGCAUCCCGUGGUAAGAAGGACUCUGGGAUGCUAAGGGACUCAGCAGGUCUGCAUCCCGUGGUAAGAAGGACUCUGGGAUGCUAAGGGACUCAGCAGGUCUGCAUCC